Molecule: non-coding RNA, 113 nt
Organism: Acanthosepion pharaonis
Lineage: Eukaryota; Metazoa; Mollusca; Cephalopoda; Sepiida; Sepiidae
Source: the annotation of a GenBank genome assembly
UACAGCCAUAUCAUAUUGAAACACCAGAUCCUGUAUGAUCACUGAAGUUAAGCAAUGUUGAGCCUGGCCAAUACCGAGAUGGGUGACCACUCGGAAAUACCAUGUGUUGUAAG